GACGAACGCUGGCGGCGUGCUUAACACAUGCAAGUCGAACGGAAAGGCCCUGCUUUUGUGGGGUGCUCGAGUGGCGAACGGGUGAGUAACACGUGAGUAACCUGCCCUUGACUUUGGGAUAACUUCAGGAAACUGGGGCUAAUACCGGAUAGGAGCUCCUGCUGCAUGGUGGGGGUUGGAAAGUUUCGGCGGUUGGGGAUGGACUCGCGGCUUAUCAGCUCGCUGGUGGGAUAGUGGCUUACCAAGGCUUUGACGGGUAGCCGGCCUGAGAGGGUGACCGGCCACAGUGGGAAUGGGGAGCCGGCCAGACUGCUACGGGAGGCAGGAGGGGGGAAUUUUGGCAGAGUGGCCGAAGGCUGGAGGAGCAACGCCGGGUGGGGGAUGACGGCCUUCGGGUUGUAAACCGCUUUCGCCUGUGACGAAGCGUGAGUGACGGUAAUGGGUAAAGAAGCACCGGCUAACUACGUG
RNAcentral lists this ribosomal RNA (468 nucleotides) under uncultured bacterium. RNAcentral describes it as "partial 16S ribosomal RNA". It matches the Rfam family "Bacterial small subunit ribosomal RNA", at positions 28 to 507 of the family's 1533-position model. The record is from RNAcentral.